GACGAACGCUGGCGGCGUGCUUAACACAUGCAAGUCGAACGGAAAGGCCCUGCUUUUGUGGGGUGCUCGAGUGGCGAACGGGUGAGUAACACGUGAGUAACCUGCCCUUGACUUUGGGAUAACUUCAGGAAACUGGGGCUAAUACCGGAUAGGAGCUCCUGCUGCAUGGUGGGGGUUGGAAAGUUUCGGCGGUUGGGGAUGGACUCGCGGCUUAUCAGCUUGUUGGUGGGGUAGUGGCUUACCAAGGCUUUGACGGGUAGCCGGCCUGGGAGGGUGGCCGGCCACAUUGGGACUGAGAUACGGCCCAGACUCCUACGGGAGGCAACAGUGGGGAAUAUUGCACAAUGGGCGGGAGCCUGAUGCAGCAACGCCGCGUGCGGGAUGACGGCCUUCGGGUUGUAAACCGCUUUCGCCUGUGACGAAGCGUGAGUGACGGUAAUGGGUAAAGAAGCACCGGCUAACUACGUG
RNAcentral lists this ribosomal RNA (468 nucleotides) under uncultured bacterium. RNAcentral describes it as "partial 16S ribosomal RNA". It matches the Rfam family "Bacterial small subunit ribosomal RNA", at positions 28 to 507 of the family's 1533-position model. The record is from RNAcentral.